RNAcentral lists this ribosomal RNA (468 nucleotides) under uncultured bacterium. RNAcentral's name for it is "partial 16S ribosomal RNA". It matches the Rfam family "Bacterial small subunit ribosomal RNA", at positions 28 to 507 of the family's 1533-position model. The record is from RNAcentral.
GACGAACGCUGGCGGCGUGCUUAACACAUGCAAGUCGAACGGACAGGCCCUGCUCUUGUUGGGUUCUCGAGUGGCGAACGGGUGAGUAACACGUGAGUAACCUCCCCCUGUAUUUGUGAUAACAUCAGGAAAAUGGGUCUAAUACCGGAUAGGAGCUUCUGAUGCAUGGUGUGGGAUGGAAAGAUUCGGCGGUUGGGGAUGGACUCGAUGGUUACGGGCUUGUUUGUGGGGUAGGUGCUUCCCAAGGCUUCGACGGCUAGCCGGCCUGAGAGGGGGACCGGCCACCAUGGGACUGAGGGACGGCCCAGAAGCGUAUGUGAGGCAGCGGUCGGAAAUCUUGCAGAGUGGCCGGGCGUGUGAGGUGACAGCGCUGCGAGCGGGAUACCGGCCUUCGAGUGGUAAACAGCUUUCGAAUGUAACGAAGCGAGAGUGACGGUAAUGGGUAAAGAAGCACCGGCUAACUACGUG